RNAcentral lists this ribosomal RNA (248 nucleotides) under uncultured bacterium. Its description in RNAcentral is "partial 16S ribosomal RNA". It matches the Rfam family "Bacterial small subunit ribosomal RNA", at positions 86 to 334 of the family's 1533-position model. The record is from RNAcentral.
CUAAAUCGAGUGGCGAACGGGUGAGUAACGCGUGAGGAACCUGCCUCAAAGAGGGGGACAACAGUUGGAAACGACUGCUAAUACCGCAUAAGACCACGGUACCGCAUGGUACAGUGGUAAAAACUCCGGUGGUAUGAGAUGGACCCGCGUCUGAUUAGGUAGUUGGUGGGGUAACGGCCUACCAAGCCGACGAUCAGUAGCCGACCUGAGAGGGUGACCGGCCACAUUGGGACUGAGACACGGCCCAG